RNAcentral lists this long non-coding RNA (264 nucleotides) under Theobroma cacao (cacao). Its description in RNAcentral is "long non-coding RNA (TCAC_LNC004726)". Lineage: Eukaryota; Viridiplantae; Streptophyta; Magnoliopsida; Malvales; Malvaceae. The record is from RNAcentral.
CAGUCCUCUUCCAAUUAUCUGCAAUCCAGCAGAUAAACAGAGACCAAUCAACAGUAUCCUAAGAUUAGCCAACAGGAACCCUUUUUUUCGAGCCUAGUUUGAAGGGGUGGAGGUGGCAGAAGAGGAAGAGGAAGAGGAAGAGGAAGAGGAAGAGGAAGAGGAAGAGGAAAACUUUGAAGCAAUAUGAAAGAUAAAAGAGAAUCUUAUUAUUUUCUUUAUACUUUCCCUGUAUCUAACAAGUUUAAAUUUGGAAAAAAAAAAAAA